This 1455-nucleotide ribosomal RNA is filed under the name Lactiplantibacillus plantarum. RNAcentral describes it as "bacterial SSU rRNA". It matches the Rfam family "Bacterial small subunit ribosomal RNA". Lineage: Bacteria; Bacillati; Bacillota; Bacilli; Lactobacillales; Lactobacillaceae. The record is from RNAcentral.
ACUAAUACAUGGCCAGUCGAACGAACUCUGGUAUUGAUUGGUGCUUGCAUCAUGAUUUACAUUUGAGUGAGUGGCGAACUGGUGAGUAACACGUGGGAAACCUGCCCAGAAGCGGGGGAUAACACCUGGAAACAGAUGCUAAUACCGCAUAACAACUUGGACCGCAUGGUCCGAGUUUGAAAGAUGGCUUCGGCUAUCACUUUUGGAUGGUCCCGCGGCGUAUUAGCUAGAUGGUGGGGUAACGGCUCACCAUGGCAAUGAUACGUAGCCGACCUGAGAGGGUAAUCGGCCACAUUGGGACUGAGACACGGCCCAAACUCCUACGGGAGGCAGCAGUAGGGAAUCUUCCACAAUGGACGAAAGUCUGAUGGAGCAACGCCGCGUGAGUGAAGAAGGGUUUCGGCUCGUAAAACUCUGUUGUUAAAGAAGAACAUAUCUGAGAGUAACUGUUCAGGUAUUGACGGUAUUUAACCAGAAAGCCACGGCUAACUACGUGCCAGCAGCCGCGGUAAUACGUAGGUGGCAAGCGUUGUCCGGAUUUAUUGGGCGUAAAGCGAGCGCAGGCGGUUUUUUAAGUCUGAUGUGAAAGCCUUCGGCUCAACCGAAGAAGUGCAUCGGAAACUGGGAAACUUGAGUGCAGAAGAGGACAGUGGAACUCCAUGUGUAGCGGUGAAAUGCGUAGAUAUAUGGAAGAACACCAGUGGCGAAGGCGGCUGUCUGGUCUGUAACUGACGCUGAGGCUCGAAAGUAUGGGUAGCAAACAGGAUUAGAUACCCUGGUAGUCCAUACCGUAAACGAUGAAUGCUAAGUGUUGGAGGGUUUCCGCCCUUCAGUGCUGCAGCUAACGCAUUAAGCAUUCCGCCUGGGGAGUACGGCCGCAAGGCUGAAACUCAAAGGAAUUGACGGGGGCCCGCACAAGCGGUGGAGCAUGUGGUUUAAUUCGAAGCUACGCGAAGAACCUUACCAGGUCUUGACAUACUAUGCAAAUCUAAGAGAUUAGACGUUCCCUUCGGGGACAUGGAUACAGGUGGUGCAUGGUUGUCGUCAGCUCGUGUCGUGAGAUGUUGGGUUAAGUCCCGCAACGAGCGCAACCCUUAUUAUCAGUUGCCAGCAUUAAGUUGGGCACUCUGGUGAGACUGCCGGUGACAAACCGGAGGAAGGUGGGGAUGACGUCAAAUCAUCAUGCCCCUUAUGACCUGGGCUACACACGUGCUACAAUGGAUGGUACAACGAGUUGCGAACUCGCGAGAGUAAGCUAAUCUCUUAAAGCCAUUCUCAGUUCGGAUUGUAGGCUGCAACUCGCCUACAUGAAGUCGGAAUCGCUAGUAAUCGCGGAUCAGCAUGCCGCGGUGAAUACGUUCCCGGGCCUUGUACACACCGCCCGUCACACCAUGAGAGUUUGUAACACCCAAAGUCGGUGGGGUAACCUUUUAGGAACCAGCCCGCUUAAAGGGG